GACGAACGCUGGCGGCGUGCUUAACACAUGCAAGUCGAACGGAAAGGCCCUGCUUUUGUGGGGUGCUCGAGUGGCGAACGGGUGAGUAACACGUGAGUAACCUGCCCUUGACUUUGGGAUAACUUCAGGAAACUGGGGCUAAUACCGGAUAGGAGCUCCUGCUGCAUGGUGGGGGUUGGAAAGUUUCGGCGGUUGGGGAUGGACUCGCGGCUUAUCAGCUUGUUGGUGGGGUAGUGGCUUACCAAGGCUUUGACGGGUAGCCGGCCUGAGAGGGUGACCGGCAACAUUGGGACGGGGUUACGGCCCAGACUCCUACGGGAGGCAGCAGUGGGGAAUAUGGCACAAGGGGCGGAAGCCUGAUGCAGCAACGCCGCGUGCGGGAGGACGGCCUUCGGGUGGUAAACCGCUUUCGCCUGUGACGAAGCGUGAGUGACGGUAAUGGGGAAAGAAGCACCGGCGAACUACGU
This 467-nucleotide ribosomal RNA is filed under the name uncultured bacterium. Its description in RNAcentral is "partial 16S ribosomal RNA". It matches the Rfam family "Bacterial small subunit ribosomal RNA", at positions 28 to 506 of the family's 1533-position model. The record is from RNAcentral.